CUACGGGCGGCUGCAGUGAGGAAUAUUGCACUAUGGGGGAAACCCUGAUGCAGCAACGCCGCGUGGAGGAUGACGCAUUUCGGUGUGUAAACUCCUUUUAUCAGAGAAGAAAAUGACGGUAUCUGAUGAAUAAGCUCCGGCUAACUCCGUGCCAGCAGCCGCGGUAAUACGGAGGGAGCAAGCGUUAUUCGGAAUCACUGGGCGUAAAGGACGCGUAGGCGGGUUAUUAAGUCAGGUGUGAAAUCCAAUGGCUCAACCAUUGAACUGCACUUGAAACUGGUAACCUAGAGUAUGGAAGGGGCAGAUGGAAUUAGUGGUGUAGGGGUAAAAUCCGUAGAUAUCACUAGGAAUACCGAAAGCGAAGGCGAUCUGCUGGGACAUUACUGACGCUGAGGCGUGAAAGCAUGGGGAGCAAACAGGAUUAGAUACCCGCGUAGUC
This 439-nucleotide ribosomal RNA is filed under the name uncultured bacterium. Its description in RNAcentral is "partial 16S ribosomal RNA". It matches the Rfam family "Bacterial small subunit ribosomal RNA", at positions 339 to 795 of the family's 1533-position model. The record is from RNAcentral.